Molecule: ribosomal RNA, 116 nt
Filed under: Colletotrichum graminicola M1.001
Lineage: Eukaryota; Fungi; Ascomycota; Sordariomycetes; Glomerellales; Glomerellaceae
Source: RNAcentral
ACGACCAUACCCACUGGAAAACUCGGGAUCCCGUCCGCUCUCCCAUAGAUAAGCCAGUGAGGGCCGGAUUAGUAGUUGGGUCGGUGACGACCAGCGAAUACCUGGUGUUGUAUGUA